GACGAACGCUGGCGGCGUGCUUAACACAUGCAAGUCGAACGAAGUGGCGAACGGGUGAGUAACGCGUAAUCAACCUGCCCUUCAGAGGGGUACAACAGUUGGAAACGACUGCUAAUACCGCAUACUGAAGGCGGGGAUUGCGUCUGAUUCGCUAGUUGGCGGGGUAACGGCCCACCAAGGCGAGGAUCAGUAGCCGGGCUGAGAGGAUGAACGGCCACAUUGGGACGGAGACAAGGCCCAGACUCCUACGGGAGGCAGCAGUGGGGAAUUUUCCGCAAUUGACGAAAGUCUGACGGAGCAACGCCGCGUGAGUGAUGACGGCCUGCGGGUUGUAAAGCUCUGUUAAUCGGGACGCGGUACCGGAAUAGAAAGCCACGGCUAACUACGUGCCAGCCGCCGCGGUAAUAC
RNAcentral lists this ribosomal RNA (408 nucleotides) under uncultured bacterium. RNAcentral's name for it is "partial 16S ribosomal RNA". It matches the Rfam family "Bacterial small subunit ribosomal RNA", at positions 28 to 526 of the family's 1533-position model. The record is from RNAcentral.